GCUUAGCCCUUAACAUAGACAGUAAACACACAAUACUGUCCGCCCGAGAACUACAAGUGAAAAACUAGAAACUCCAAGGACUUGGCGGUGCUCCAUAUCGACCUAGAGGAGCCUGUCCUAUAAUCGAUAAUCCACGUUUCACCCUACCACUUCUUGCAACUCAGCCUAUAUACCGCCGUCGUCAGCCUACCUUAUGAAAGAGACAGAGUAAGCAAAACAGUUAACAACUAAAACGUCAGGUCAAGGUGUAGCACAUGAAGUGGAAGAGAUGGGCUACACUUUCUACCCCAGAACACACGAACAGCACAAUGAAAUCAAUGCUCGAAGGCGGAUUUAGUAGUAAGAAAAACAAGAAACUUUUCCUGAAACUCGCUCUGGAG
RNAcentral lists this ribosomal RNA (380 nucleotides) under Trachylepis wrightii. RNAcentral describes it as "partial 12S ribosomal RNA". It matches the Rfam family "Bacterial small subunit ribosomal RNA", at positions 830 to 1379 of the family's 1533-position model. The record is from RNAcentral. Lineage: Eukaryota; Metazoa; Chordata; Lepidosauria; Squamata; Scincidae.